UACGAAGGGGGCUAGCGUUGCUCGGAAUUACUGGGCGUAAAGCGCACGUAGGCGGCUUUCUAAGUCGGGGGUGAAAUCCUGGAGCUCAACUCCAGAACUGCCUUCGAUACUGGAAAGCUCGAGUCCGGGAGAGGUGAGUGGAACUGCGAGUGUAGAGGUGAAAUUCGUAGAUAUUCGGAGGAACACCAGUGGCGAAGGCGGCUCACUGGUCCAUUACUGACGCUGAGGUGCGAAAGCGUGGGGAGCAAACAGG
Molecule: ribosomal RNA, 253 nt
Filed under: uncultured bacterium
Lineage: Bacteria
Description: partial 16S ribosomal RNA
Rfam family: Bacterial small subunit ribosomal RNA
Source: RNAcentral